UGGGGAAUUUUGCGCAAUGGGCGAAAGUCUGACGCAGCAACGCCGCGUGUGUGAUGAAGGUCUUCGGAUUGUAAAGCACUUUCGACCGGGACGAAAACCCUGAGGUUAAUAAGCUCAGGCUUGACGGUACCGGGAGAAGAAGCACCGGCUAACUCUGUGCCAGCAGCCGCGGUAAUACAGAGGGUGCAAGCGUUGUUCGGAAUUAUUGGGCGUAAAGCGCGUGUAGGCGGCUAUGCAAGUCGGGUGUGAAAGCCCUCAGCUUAACUGAGGAAGUGCGCCCGAAACUGCGUGGCUUGAAUACCGGAGAGGAUGGCGGAAUUCCCGAAGUAGAGGUGAAAUUCGUAGAUAUCGGGAGGAACACCGGUGGCGAAGGCGGCCAUCUGGACGGAUAUUGACGCUGAGACGCGAAAGCGUGGGUAGCAAACAG
This 427-nucleotide ribosomal RNA is filed under the name uncultured bacterium. RNAcentral describes it as "bacterial SSU rRNA". It matches the Rfam family "Bacterial small subunit ribosomal RNA", at positions 355 to 775 of the family's 1533-position model. The record is from RNAcentral.